UACGUAGGGGGCAAGCGUUGUCCGGAAUUACUGGGCGUAAAGCGCGCGUAGGCGGACCUGCAAGUCGGGGGUGAAAGCCCGAGGCUCAACCUCGGAACUGCCUUCGAUACUGCGGGUCUCGAGUCCGGGAGAGGUGAGUGGAAUUCCUAGUGUAGAGGUGAAAUUCGUAGAUAUUAGGAAGAACACCAGUGGCGAAGGCGGCUCACUGGCCCGGUACUGACGCUGAGGCGCGAAAGCGUGGGGAGCAAACAGG
This 253-nucleotide ribosomal RNA is filed under the name uncultured bacterium. RNAcentral describes it as "partial 16S ribosomal RNA". It matches the Rfam family "Bacterial small subunit ribosomal RNA", at positions 524 to 776 of the family's 1533-position model. The record is from RNAcentral.